AGAGUUUGAUCAUGGCUCAGAUUGAACGCUGGCGGCAUGCCUUACACAUGCAAGUCGAACGGCAGCGCGGGAGCAAUCCUGGCGGCGAGUGGCGAACGGGUGAGUAAUACAUCGGAACGUGCCCAAUCGUGGGGGAUAACGCAGCGAAAGCUGUGCUAAUACCGCAUACGAUCUACGGAUGAAAGCAGGGGACCGCAAGGCCUUGCGCGAAUGGAGCGGCCGAUGGCAGAUUAGGUAGUUGGUGGGGNNAAAGGCUCACCAAGCCGACGAUCUGUAGCUGGUCUGAGAGGACGACCAGCCACACUGGGACUGAGACACGGCCCAGACUCCUACGGGAGGCAGCAGUGGGGGAAUUUUGGACAAUGGGCGCAAGCCUGAUCCAGCCAUGCCGCGUGCAGGAUGAAGGCCUUCGGGUUGUAAACUGCUUUUGUACGGAACGAAAAGCCUCUUUCUAAUAAAGAGGGGUCAUGACGGUACCGUAAGAAUAAGCACCGGCUAACUACGUGCCAGCAGCCGCGGUAAUACGUAGGGUGCAAGCGUUAAUCGGAAUUACUGGGCGUAAAGCGUGCGCAGGCGGUUAUAUAAGACAGUUGUGAAAUCCCCGGGCUCAACCUGGGAACUGCAUCUGUGACUGUAUAGCUAGAGUACGGUAGAGGGGGAUGGAAUUCCGCGUGUAGCAGUGAAAUGCGUAGAUAUGCGGAGGAACACCGAUGGCGAAGGCAAUCCCCUGGACCUGUACUGACGCUCAUGCACGAAAGCGUGGGGAGCAAACAGGAUUAGAUACCCNNGUAGUCC
This 795-nucleotide ribosomal RNA is filed under the name uncultured bacterium. RNAcentral describes it as "bacterial SSU rRNA". It matches the Rfam family "Bacterial small subunit ribosomal RNA", at positions 8 to 796 of the family's 1533-position model. The record is from RNAcentral.